This 65-nucleotide ribosomal RNA is filed under the name Diplodia seriata. RNAcentral's name for it is "partial 28S ribosomal RNA". It matches the Rfam family "Eukaryotic large subunit ribosomal RNA", at positions 1 to 69 of the family's 3401-position model. Lineage: Eukaryota; Fungi; Ascomycota; Dothideomycetes; Botryosphaeriales; Botryosphaeriaceae. The record is from RNAcentral.
UUGACCUCGGAUCAGGUAGGGAUACCCGCUGAACUUAAGCAUAUCAAUAAGCGGAGGAAAUCUAC